UGGGCUGUAUUGUGAUCUGUAAAACCUCC
RNAcentral lists this non-coding RNA (29 nucleotides) under Mus musculus (house mouse). Lineage: Eukaryota; Metazoa; Chordata; Mammalia; Rodentia; Muridae. The record is from RNAcentral.